This 387-nucleotide ribosomal RNA is filed under the name uncultured bacterium. Its description in RNAcentral is "partial 16S ribosomal RNA". It matches the Rfam family "Bacterial small subunit ribosomal RNA", at positions 338 to 722 of the family's 1533-position model. The record is from RNAcentral.
CCUACGGGAGGCAGCAGUGAGGAAUAUUGGUCAAUGGACGAGAGUCUGAACCAGCCAAGUAGCGUGAAGGAUGACUGCCCUCUGGGUUGUAAACUUCUUUUAUAUGGGAAUAAAACAGGGUAUGCAUACCCUCUUGUAUGUACCAUAUGAAUAAGGAUCGGCUAACUCCGUGCCAGCAGCCGCGGUAAUACGGAGGAUCCGAGCGUUAUCCGGAUUUAGUGGGUUUAAAGGGAGCGUAGGUGGAUUGUUAAGUCAGUUGUGAAAGUUUGCGGCUCAACCGUAAAAUUGCAAUUGAAACUGGCAGUCUUGAGUACAGUAGAGGUAGGCGGAAUUCGUGGUGUAGCGGUGAAAUGCUUAGAUAUCACGAAGAACUCCGAUUGCGAAGGC